GGCACUUUCGAGUCAGAUCUUGGAGAAGCCACUUGGGCUUACUAUUCUACUACUUUUUGCUGAACCUGGACAUGGCUUCAUACUCCUGACCCUGGGUCGAGUGAAUAUUGAUUACAAUUGGAAGAGUCUAGGAAUUCGGCCCAUGGCCAGAAUUCAGGAUAUCCAUGUAAAGAUAUAACAGACAGAUAUUAAUUCAUGGAAUUUGAUGAUAUACAUGCAAGAAUAAACGUGAACUGAUUAAUGAACAGUCUUUGUGAGUUAUUCAAACAUUCACUGGGAACUAACCCAGCCCAGUUACAUACGUUUGUAAACAAAAUGGCUGACCGAAAAACUGUUUGCAUUGAUAGCAAAGGCAGGGGCACUGGGAGAAUAAAAUAAACAAACGAGUUUAAUAAAUUCAAUA
This is a long non-coding RNA of Mizuhopecten yessoensis (Yesso scallop), 403 nucleotides long. RefSeq lists it as uncharacterized. NCBI's taxonomy places the organism in Eukaryota, Metazoa, Mollusca, Bivalvia, Pectinida, Pectinidae. The record is from RefSeq and is a predicted model, not a curated record. The transcript has 3 exons.